Molecule: non-coding RNA, 440 nt
Organism: Pelobates cultripes (western spadefoot toad)
Lineage: Eukaryota; Metazoa; Chordata; Amphibia; Anura; Pelobatidae
Source: the annotation of a GenBank genome assembly
AUAUUCUGCAGCACUGUAGAAUAUAUAAAACAAGACGAUUAAUUCUGAUAAGUUGACAUACAGGAACACAACAUCACAAGCAGCAUCCCACACAAGCAACCCCACAAGUACUUGUAAGAUUGCCCAUGUGAGGGGCUCUGCUUGUGAUGUCAUCUGUGGUGGAAGUAUGUAAUAAAAUUUGCUUUAUUUCUUUAUUUUUUAAUUUUAAUGGGGGGGGAGGCCGGCCAGCAAGGGUUAUUCCAUCUAAAAAUAGCAUUUUAUUAAAACACUGUUUCUGGUUGGAUUAACCCCUUAAAACUAAAUUUGGUGUGAAUUUGGUGUGACUCUCACAUAAUAAUUCAGGGCGCACAUAUCUGUCUGAGAGACACACAAAGAAGGGGGAGAAGAGUAGUGGUGGCCAAAUAAACUUGCAUCAUAAUGGUGCAUCUUGAUCUCCUAUU